Molecule: ribosomal RNA, 245 nt
Filed under: uncultured bacterium
Lineage: Bacteria
Description: partial 16S ribosomal RNA
Rfam family: Bacterial small subunit ribosomal RNA
Source: RNAcentral
UACAGAGGUCACAAGCGUUAUCCGGAUUUAUUGGGCGUAAAGCGUUUCGUAGGUGGGUUUGUAAGUUACCCUUCAAAGACUACGGCUCAACCGGAGGAAGGGGGGUAAUACUGCAAGUCUUGAAAUAUGGUGGGGUAUCUGGAACUGAUGGUGUAGUAGUGAAAUACGUUGAUAUCAUCAGGAACUCCAAGGGCGAAGGCAGGAUACUAACCAUUUUUUGACACUGAGGAACGACAGCUAGGGGA